UCACAGAACCGCUAGAUCCCUGAGGUGCAUGUGUGUGUCACUAAAGCACAUGGAGCUGUAGCUGUCUUUCUGUAAAUGAUGUCACUUGACAUGGAAUAAGGUGAAAAUCAAGUAUAGAACUUGCAACACCUGCCAGACAGAAAAAAAAUUGCAUUUGCAGUUUUUGGAUUGCAGCUCCAAUACACAAAGCCUUAAAUUGUGAGACUUAAAUGAUUUUAGGUACUGAUGAGUCCUAGUACAGGAAGGAGUUUGACAUGUUUGACCCAAAAAGGCACUUGAAAAUUGCCAAAUAUGUCAUUUAGUAGUGGACCUAUUGCUUGAAUCAGAAAGUUGGCAGAGGUUGUUUACCAUUCC
This 354-nucleotide long non-coding RNA is filed under the name Chloebia gouldiae (Gouldian finch). Its description in RNAcentral is "Erythrura gouldiae (Gouldian finch) lncRNA (ENSEGOG00005015552.1)". The record is from RNAcentral. Lineage: Eukaryota; Metazoa; Chordata; Aves; Passeriformes; Passeridae.